UGCCUAACACAUGCAAGUCGAACGUGAACGGGAGCAAUCCCUAGUAAAGUGGCGUACGGGUGAGUAACACGUAGGUAAUCUACCCAAGAGUCCGGAAUAACCGCCCGAAAGGCUGGCUAAUACCAGAUAGAGCGACGGAAUCCGUAAUUGGGUUUUUCGGGAAAGGGAGCUCGCAAGGGCCCUCGCUUUUGGAUGAGCCUGCGUCCCAUCAGGUAGUUGGUAAGGUAACGGCUUACCAAGCCUUUGACGGGUAGCUGGUCUGAGAGGAUGAUCAGCCACACUGGAACUGAAACACGGUCCAGACUCCUACGGGAGGCAGCAGUGGGGAAUCUUGCGCAAUGGACGGAAGUCUGACGCAGCCACGCCGCGUGAGUGAAGAAGGCCUUCGGGUUGUAAAGCUC
RNAcentral lists this ribosomal RNA (401 nucleotides) under uncultured organism. Its description in RNAcentral is "bacterial SSU rRNA". It matches the Rfam family "Bacterial small subunit ribosomal RNA", at positions 45 to 433 of the family's 1533-position model. The record is from RNAcentral.